CAUCCGAUAAUCUUUUUGAGAGUUAGUUACUGUAACCUCGAUCCUGUCACUCGUCUAUUAAUAGUUUGGUGCAUUUUUUAACAGUCUAUUAUGUGUUGGUAAGAGAUCUACUUGGGUUACUGAUUGGGUUAAGAGAAGCAUGCGUGAAUACCAACUAAUUGUCAUUUCAACGUAAAAUAUCCCUAACUCAGUUGAUUAUCUGUAAGGACAAUAUUUCGACAACAAAGUUUUAACGAACCUUGUGGAAAAUCAAAUAAAUUUCGAAACUUUUCUCAGAUCAUACGGCCGGUAAUUAAAGCGGGAAUCGUACGCAUAACUGUGCCCGUUUAUUUAUGAUCCACUCUUCGGCAUUAGGACAUACAAUAUGCUAAUUUCGAAUUGCUGAACAUAAAUAUGCUCUGAAAACGUAUCCACGGAAUCCUAAAUUAUACAAUAAAAUAUCCGUAAGCCCCAAAACACGCGAAGUAAAAUUUUGAAUCGUUUGGUCACGAAUAACUUUGCGGUAUACACCGAUAUAGAUUUGUCUACGGUCAUCCAAUGAUAAUAUGCAGAAAUAAUAUUGCGAAUAUAUUCCUCGCCGGUAUUAUUGCGGAAUAUUGUACACGCGUUGAGAAUUGGCGAAAAUUGUGGGGUAGGGGCUU
Cinara cedri is the source of this 641-nucleotide non-coding RNA. NCBI's taxonomy places the organism in Eukaryota, Metazoa, Arthropoda, Insecta, Hemiptera, Aphididae. The record is from the annotation of a GenBank genome assembly.